This 450-nucleotide ribosomal RNA is filed under the name uncultured bacterium. Its description in RNAcentral is "partial 16S ribosomal RNA". It matches the Rfam family "Bacterial small subunit ribosomal RNA", at positions 354 to 796 of the family's 1533-position model. The record is from RNAcentral.
GUGGGGAAUAUUGGACAAUGGGCGAAAGCCUGAUCCAGCCAUGCAGCGUGUGUGAAGAAGGUCUUCGGAUUGUAAAGCACUUUAAGUUGGGAGGAAGGGCAGUAAGUUAAUACCUUGCUGUUUUGACGUUACCGACAGAAUAAGCACCGGCUAACUUCGUGCCAGCAGCCGCGGUAAUACGAAGGGUGCAAGCGUUAAUCGGAAUUACUGGGCGUAAAGCGCGCGUAGGUGGUUUUGUAAGUUGGAGGUGAAAUCCCCGGGCUCAACCUGGGAACUGCCUCCAAAACUGCAUGACUAGAGUACGGUAGAGGGUAGUGGAAUUUCCUGUGUAGCGGUGAAAUGCGUAGAUAUAGGAAGGAACACCAGUGGCGAAGGCGACUACCUGGACUGAUACUGACACUGAGGUGCGAAAGCGUGGGGAGCAAACAGGAUUAGAAACCCGUGUAGUCC